UACAGAGGUAGCGAACGUUGUCCGGAUUUACUGGGCGUAAAGGGCUUGUAGGUGGCCAUAUAAGUCAGUUGUGAAAUCGUUCUGCUUAACAGAACAAUUGCUUCUGAUACUGUAUGGCUUGAGUGCAGGAAGGGAAAAUGGAAUUUCCGGUGUAGCGGUGAAAUGCGUAGAUAUCGGAAAGAACACCUGUGGCGAAGGCGGUUUUCUGGCCUGCAACUGACACUGAGGAGCGAAAGCUAGGGGAGCAAACAGG
RNAcentral lists this ribosomal RNA (253 nucleotides) under uncultured bacterium. RNAcentral's name for it is "partial 16S ribosomal RNA". It matches the Rfam family "Bacterial small subunit ribosomal RNA", at positions 524 to 776 of the family's 1533-position model. The record is from RNAcentral.